UGGAAGUAAAAAGUCGUAACAAGGUUUCCGUAGGUGAACCUGCGGAAGGAUCAUUACCGAGUGAGGGCCCUCUGGGUCCAACCUCCCACCCGUGUUUAUCGUACCUUGUUGCUUCGGCGGGCCCGCCUCACGGCCGCCGGGGGGCAUCUGCCCCCGGGCCCGCGCCCGCCGAAGACACACAAACGAACUCUUGCUGAAGAUUGCAGUCUGAGUACUUGACUAAAUCAGUUAAAACUUUCAACAACGGAUCUCUUGGUUCCGGCAUCGAUGAAGAACGCAGCGAAAUGCGAUAAGUAAUGUGAAUUGCAGAAUUCAGAAUCAUCGAGUCUUUGAACGCACAUUGCGCCCCCUGGUAUUCCGGGGGGCAUGCCUGUCCGAGCGUCAUUGCUGCCCUCAAGCACGGCUUGUGUGUUGGGCUCUCGCCCCCCGCUUCCGGGGGGCGGGCCCGAAAGGCAGCGGCGGCACCGCGUCCGGUCCUCGAGCGUAUGGGGCUUCGUCACCCGCUCUGUAGGCCCGGCCGGCGCCCGCCGGCGAACACCAUCAAUCUAACCAGGUGACCUCGAUCAGAGACC
This 572-nucleotide ribosomal RNA is filed under the name Penicillium oxalicum. RNAcentral's name for it is "partial 18S ribosomal RNA". The stretch from base 233 to 384 matches the Rfam family "5.8S ribosomal RNA". Lineage: Eukaryota; Fungi; Ascomycota; Eurotiomycetes; Eurotiales; Aspergillaceae. The record is from RNAcentral.